RNAcentral lists this ribosomal RNA (217 nucleotides) under uncultured bacterium. Its description in RNAcentral is "partial 16S ribosomal RNA". It matches the Rfam family "Bacterial small subunit ribosomal RNA", at positions 328 to 539 of the family's 1533-position model. The record is from RNAcentral.
ACGCUCGACACCUACGGGGGCAGCAGUGAGGAAUAUUGGUCAAUGGGCGCUAGCCUGAACCAGCCAAGUAGCGUGAAGGAUGAAGGCUCUAUGGGUCGUAAACUUCUUUUAUAUAAGAAUAAAGUGCAGUAUGUAUACUGUUUUGUAUGUAUUAUAUGAAUAAGGAUCGGCUAACUCCGUGCCAGCAGCCGUGGUAAUCUGAGCGGGCUGGCAAGGC